GGGUCCGGAGCUUGCACUUCGGAGGUUUGGGAUGGUCGGGCCGCCAUUC
This 49-nucleotide non-coding RNA is filed under the name Elusimicrobiota bacterium. Its description in RNAcentral is "Elusimicrobia bacterium Li+-I sequence". It matches the Rfam family "nhaA-I RNA". Rfam says of the family: Acidobacteria, Alphaproteobacteria, Betaproteobacteria and Gammaproteobacteria, Verrucomicrobia, cand. division NC10. Downstream gene The record is from RNAcentral. Lineage: Bacteria; Pseudomonadati; Elusimicrobiota.